Aethalodelphis obliquidens (Pacific white-sided dolphin) is the source of this 403-nucleotide long non-coding RNA. RefSeq lists it as uncharacterized. The record is from RefSeq and is a predicted model, not a curated record. The transcript has 3 exons. Lineage: Eukaryota; Metazoa; Chordata; Mammalia; Artiodactyla; Delphinidae.
AAGACUUGGUGGAGACCAUGGCAUAUCUGGUUUCAUCCUCCCUCCAUAGAGACUGAAGAACUUCCAAACUGCAAAUCUCUGGUGAAUGAUGUAGAAACCAGCCACAACUCAGUCCUAUGCACUGGAAAACUGGUGGUGGGUUGACAAGAAAUUAUGUUUACACUUCAAGAAGGACACUUCCAUGUCUUCAGAAUCUGAGCUGGACCUCCAGCUAACUCACGGGUAGAGGAUGAACAGAGGACCCCAAACAAACCCAUACUCUGGAGGAACCAUCUCAACACUGAGCAGGGACACCACCCCUUCAGCCUAGAAAGAGGGUCAACACAAAGGAAUGGUUGUACACGGGAAUGGUGGACUUAUUGGUACUUCAAAUUUCCUCUCAAUGAUGGGUGCUGUGAAGGAA